This 20-nucleotide microRNA is filed under the name Monodelphis domestica (gray short-tailed opossum). RNAcentral describes it as "mdo-miR-12335-5p". The record is from miRBase by way of RNAcentral. Lineage: Eukaryota; Metazoa; Chordata; Mammalia; Didelphimorphia; Didelphidae.
UUCAAAGCCAGCAUAACCCA